CAGUAGCCGCGGUAAUACGGAGGGAGCUAGCGUUAUUCGGAAUUACUGGGCGUAAAGCGCACGUAGGCGGCUUUGUAAGUAAGAGGUGAAAGCCCAGAGCUCAACUCUGGAAUUGCCUUUUAGACUGCAUCGCUUGAAUCAUGGAGAGGUCAGUGGAAUUCCGAGUGUAGAGGUGAAAUUCGUAGAUAUUCGGAAGAACACCUGUGGCGAAAGCGGCUCACUGGACCAUUUCUGACGCUGAUGCACGAAAGCUAGGGGAGCAAACAGGAUUAGAUACCCCUGUAGUCCCUGUCUCUUAUAC
RNAcentral lists this ribosomal RNA (301 nucleotides) under uncultured bacterium. RNAcentral's name for it is "partial 16S ribosomal RNA". It matches the Rfam family "Bacterial small subunit ribosomal RNA", at positions 509 to 807 of the family's 1533-position model. The record is from RNAcentral.